AUAUUUUUAUUCCCUCUCUCAGAUUGAACGCUGGCGGCAGGCUAACACAUGCAAGUCGAACGGUAACAGGAAGCAGCUUGCUUGCUUCGCUGACGAGUGGCGGACGGGUGAGUAAUGUCUGGGAAACUGCUGAUGGAGGGGGAUAACUACUGGAAACGGUAGCUAAUACCGCAUAACGUCGCAAGACCAAAGAGGGGGACCUUCGGGCCUCUUGCCAUCGGAUGUGCCCAGAUGGGAUUAGCUAGUAGGUGGGGUAACGGCUCACCUAGGCGACGAUCCCUAGCUGGUCUGAGAGGAUGACCAGCCACACUGGAACUGAGACACGGUCCAGACUCCUACGGGAGGCAGCAGUGGGGAAUAUUGCACAAUGGGCGCAAGCCUGAUGCAGCCAUGCCGCGUGUAUGAAGAAGGCCUUCGGGUUGUAAAGUACUUUCAGCGGGGAGGAAGGGAGUAAAGUUAAUACCUUUGCUCAUUGACGUUACCCGCAGAAGAAGCACCGGCUAACUCCGUGCCAGCAGCCGCGGUAAUACGGAGGGUGCAAGCGUUAAUCGGAAUUACUGGGCGUAAAGCGCACGCAGGCGGUUUGUUAAGUCAGAUGUGAAAUCCCCGGGCUCAACCUGGGAACUGCAUCUGAUACUGGCAAGCUUGAGUCUCGUAGAGGGGGGUAGAAUUCCAGGUGUAGCGGUGAAAUGCGUAGAGAUCUGGAGGAAUACCGGUGGCGAAGGCGGCCCCCGGACGAAGACUACGCCUCAUGUGCGGAAAUGCGUUCUU
RNAcentral lists this ribosomal RNA (771 nucleotides) under Escherichia coli. Its description in RNAcentral is "bacterial SSU rRNA". It matches the Rfam family "Bacterial small subunit ribosomal RNA", at positions 1 to 768 of the family's 1533-position model. The record is from RNAcentral. Lineage: Bacteria; Pseudomonadati; Pseudomonadota; Gammaproteobacteria; Enterobacterales; Enterobacteriaceae.